UUUUUUUUUUUUUUUUUUUUGGUUUGAAGAAAGGGGGUGGGGUGAUAAAAUACUCAGCAUGCUUGGUAAAAUUUUUUUCCUUUCUUUCUUAUUUCUUUAAGAAAAUAAGGAUGGCUAUCAAAUUAAAUUUUAAAUCUUAGAAAUAAAAGUGAUAGAAUUGCCAUUGUUUUGUAAAUGCAGCGAGUGGCAUUUCAAUUUCUAUUUGACAUGAUUUGUUGAAAUUAACAUCAUCAUAUUUUACAAAGACCAAAUAAGAAAAAAGAGUUAUCAUGUAAACCAUGGUCAACGGCAUCUAAUAAUUCUAAUAAUCAAGCCAAGGGAAAGGGGAAAAAAUUAAUAAUCAAUUUUUUGACCAUUAAAUCAUAAUUUCUUGUUUUAAACCACAAAAGAGAAAGAUUGGCAAAUGAUCAAAUCCACUUGCUGAUCUUGUCGUAUGGGAAUUUAGAAGUAGCAAUCCUAUAAUCUCCUUCAAUUUUAUCUCGUUGUAUUUUUUUUAGUAAAUUUUUUUAACCCUUUCCACCGCUCCCCAAACUCUUCAUAUCUCCAACUGAUUGGGAUAAAAUUCAAAUCUUGAACUUGACAACGGAAAAGACAUAUUUUGUUGUACUCUUAAGUGAAUUAGGCAAAAACUUUCAUGUAUAUGUUUUUUUUUACUUUAAAAAGUAAUUAUUUAUCGACUAAAGAAUCCUUCAUUAACCAACUUAAUUUCUUUUCAGUGAAACAAACUCUCACAACUUUAAUUUCUAAUAAUAAUUACUAAAACUGACCUAUCCUCCAAAAUUUUAUUUAAAUGGCCAAGUAACCACUGGAGUUAAUGCAACACAGUAGUGGACAAAAUCAGCAUUUAAAGUUAAAAAAAUCUGUCAAAGAAGAUGACCUAUAGCUGUGUGGCUACAAUCUACGACUGAUGAAGAUAAGGUAUCGAUAUUGAUAUCUAUAAGAAUUUUCUGUUCCACCAUAACCGCUGGAGAGUGACCUCAAAUCCAGCAAUAAAAAAACUAUUCCUUUAUGGUGAAAAAGGGGAAAAGAUCUUCAUGAGUUGCUCAAAAAGAGGCAGGCAUUGUAACUCUUUGUCCUAUGAGUUAUGACUUGUGAGUUGUGGCCUUUACGUGUCAGUUCUAUGUGCCUUUCUAAUUUCUAUUUGAGGAAACAACCAGGUUGUGGAAAUUAAUCAUAUGGAGAUUAAUUUGACUAGUCAACUUUCUUGAGAUUCUUGAUCAUGAUUUCAUCUGAUUCAGGGCUGAAAACAACUGGGGAUUUGAUAUUUUUGAAGGGUCGAUGGUGAUUUUAAUCUUAGUUAAUGGUGUAAUCAAAGGGUUCUGUUUUAUAAUGUAGAAAAUGGAGAUUGUUGUAAUAAAAUAGCAUGAUAUUCCGUGUAUAGUUCUGACAUGCACAGCUUUACUUGCUGGCUUAACAACAAGAAGCUACUAGCUCUCCUUUGUUUGUCUGUGGUAUGUGUGUGUGAGAGAAUGUUUGUGGUGUGUGAGAGUGUGUGCGUGACCGUUCAUUUUGACACCGUCCAAACCCUAGUGGUGAGAACACAGAGAAGGACAAAAAUUUAAGCAUGCCCCUCAAGAAACUUGAAUAUUUUUCUCCAACUCCCCUAUAGGGAAAGGAAAAAAGUUCUUGAUAACAAACCAAUUAAUCUAACGGAUAUUCCAAUAGUAGUGUUUGGAUUGUAAGUUAUUACACUUUAUGUACACACACUGAUUUGCUUGUAUCAUCAACAUAUUUUUCAAUCACCUUUUUAUCUCACAUACAUCAUAUCAAAAAAUUUCUACAGUACUUUUUUCACAAAAUUAACUCAAAUAAUUUACAAUCCAAACAUUUGGUAUAGGUUUGUGCGUUAUUGUUGAAUCAAAUGUGUGCAAAGUUUUAGUGUGAAUUGACUAAAUUUAGGUCGACAGUAAUUAAUAUAUUUGAUUGAUUACAUGUAAAAAUAUCAAGCUACUCUGCAUUUAAGGUGGCUCGACUUGAAAACUACUUGAAAAUUACACAAGUGAAGCUUGAAUUGGUUCGGAACCUAUAUCAAACUCAUAUAGUACACUAAACAAGUGAAACUACUUGAAUUCGUUGAGAAUCCAAAUCAAGCUUGAACAUUUUACUAUUUGACACUACUCGAAUUUUUUUACACAUUUAACCACCGUCUUCCUCAGGAAAACGGCCCUAUUUAAAGACAAGUUCAGCCCACAGUUUUCUUCCAUUCACCAUCACUCUACUUAGCUCUAGCUGUGUGUUCUUGUAAAGCACUAGCACACUCCCUCUCCAUCCCUCCCUCUUGUACUUGUAUAUUGGAAUACUCCACCUUUGAGCUUAUCCUUAACACUAUAAUUCUGUCUUUUUCAAUCCAGAUUGCUACAAUACUAUAUAGCAUCCCAAAUUCUUCGAGCAUCAUUACCAUAAAAGAUGUCAAGCCGAAGGUCGAGGUCAAGGCAUUCAGCAGCUUCAAGGAUCACUGAUGAUCAAAUCAUUGAUCUUGUAUCUAAGUUGCAGCAGCUUCUUCCUGAGCUUCGCAAUAGAUGCCCAGAUAAGGUAACUGUUCUUGCCCCAUUUCUUUUCUGAGCCUAUCUCCAUAAUUUUCCAUUUUUGUUUGGCUUGGAUGCUAGUAACGCAAAAGAUAACAAAUUGAUGAAGAAUAAUAUUUCUUUAAAGCACACUUGAGCUUAGUAUAGACAAGCUUAUGAUGUUAUUCGAAAGAUUUCUUCCCGAAUUAAGAAAUGAUUCCAUAUGGAACAUGAUUAUGGUGUCCAUCCAAUAUUUCAAGGCUUUCUUUCUUUCUUUUUUUUUUUUGAUUAUAAAAGUGAGGUCAUAUUUACUCUUUCUGGAUCUCAUGUUUGUAAAAUGAGGUAUCCGGCUAAAGAAACCGACCGAUUCUUGCAGGUUUCAGCAGCCAGGGUCUUGCAGGAGACAUGCAACUACAUCAGAAGCUUGCACAGAGAAGUUGAUGACUUGAGUGAGAGGCUGUCUGAAUUGCUUGCAAAUUCAGACACCAGCCAAGCAGCCCUAAUUAGAAGCUUACUUAGUCAGCAGUCUUAAUCAAUCCAACUGCUGCUUCCUUAAUUAUGUUGUACUUUCAGCUUCUUUCCAGGUUUUUGUCACUAGCAUUUGACUAGCUAGAUGAGUUCAUCUGGAAUGAUCAAACAACUCCUAUGGAGAGCUAGUUUAGAUGUAUGUAAUAAAGGAGUUUUAGCAUUUAGAAAUGCUCCCAAUUUCCUUAUGUAUCAAGUUAAGCAUUCAGUCGCACAUCCUUUAAGUUGGUGAUAUAUUGCUUCUGGUACAUCUUUGGGACUGAAUUUUACUUUCUUAUGCUUGAAAUUAUUAGCUUUAAAGUUGGACCUAAUUCUUAGAAAAUUGUAGUGGUAUUGCAAAAUCUGCACUAGGUUAUUUCGUGCAAGAACACUGAAAGAAAUUUUUUGUGCUCGCAUUCAGUCAAGCUGAAGCCAAAUAAUAUUACGAAUUUGAUCAAGCCGAACAACUUAUGAAUAACUAUAAAAUGUAAGCUUAACUUAUGUACAGAAACUUCAAUGAAAUCAUUUACAUUAGUUUUCCAGAAUGAUCCAGAAGGCUAUUAAAAAAAAUGUUGAAGGAAUUAAGUUCUAACCAGACCAACAAUGAAAAAAAAAAAAAGAUAUAAAGCCAGAGUAAGAGAUUAAAGCUAGUAAUUGUGGAUAUUCCUCAUAAAUUGACAAAAUGCUUUAGGCCUAUUUUUCAUGCCUAUUUUUGAGGCGUCAUCCUUUUGCCAAUCCAUGCACUGAUAGUUCUUUAGAACCCAAAUGGUAAAAUUCAUAUUUACUCGAUAUGUUCAAGAAUCUCAGCUGAGUAGCUGUUACACAAACUACUGAGACUAUAUUUUAAACACAUGGAAGUAAAAAGGAUAGCCAGCUGUAUGAGUUGUGACAUUGUAACCUUGACUUAGUAAUUUCUUGAACGGAUUAUUUUUUUUAAUAUACUUAGUUAUAAUUAGAGCCGUUAAUCAAACCGAGUAUUUGGUUGUCGAGUUCGACUCGAGCUCAACUCGAGCCAAGCUCGAACUCGCUUGACUAGACUGACGAAUUUUGAAAUGUGUUCGGACUCGACUCGCCAAAUGGACAUGUGGCUCGAGCUUGAGCUUGAGCUCGACUCGUUUAUCACAAACGAGUCGAGCUUGCACGAGCUCAAGCUCGAGCUCAUGUAAAUUAACCCUAAUAAAAACUUAUAAUUUUCAAUUUUUAUACUUUUGAAUUGUGAAAUGACAUAUAUAACCUUCCUUAUAAGAGCCUAAUCGAGCUACUCAAAUAACAAACGAGUCGAGCUUUCUCGGCUUGUUAAUUAAACGAGCAUAUCUUCAGCUCGAACUCGAUUCGUUUACCACAAGUAACGAGCCGAGCUCGAGCCUUAUCGAGUCGAGCUCAAUCGAGCUACUCGUUUCAUUUAACAGCUCUAGAUAUAAAUAGAUUUUUCUGAAUUAACAUCUGUCGGUGCAUGACAUAUUCACAUAGUUUUUUUUUUAAAGGACAUAUUCACAUAGUUUACCUACCUAAUCUUUUAGAUUUUAUUACCUGAUUAAGUCAUGAAAAGAUGUGAGAAAAUUAAGUCAAAACCGGCAACAUAAAUCGGCACAUGGAAGUAAAAAAGGAUAGCCAGCAGUGUGAGCUGUGGUGUAGUCCCCGACAAUGUAACCUUGACUUAUUAUUUUUUUAUAUACUUAGAUAUAAUUUUUUUUUUUGAAUUAACGUCUGUCAAUGCAUGACAUAUUCACAUAGUUUACCUACCUAAACUUUUAGAUUUUUUUACCUGAUUAAGUCAUGGAAAGACGUGAGAAAAUUAAGUCAAAACCGACAACAUAAAUCGGCUUAGUUGGUAAAAACAGGCGAUUUCCUUAUAAAAGAUCAUAUGUUUGAAUCUCUGAACCAUGAUAGUGAUCAAAGCUGAAUCUAUUCAAAUUUUUUUUUUUUUACCAAAAGAAAAAAGUCAAAACCAAGAAUAACAGCAAGCGCCAACUUUCUUUCCGGAAGAACCUACCAUGUCGUCGAUAUUCUGGAUUUUUAUAUGCUAUGUCUCUAGAACGCUGUACAAAUCUAGUGAUGGGAUAGAUAUUAACUACUAAAAUUUUUAAUAUGUAAAUGAUGAGAAUCAAGGUCAAUUAUUAUUUUGCACGAACAUUAUCUUUUUCCUUCCAUGUAAUAAUGUGCACAUAAAAUUAUGCAUUUUAUACACUGGUGCUAGCUUCAUAUGUGCCUAAUUUUGGGGAAAACAACAAUCAUGAGCAUCAACAUCUGCUGCUCCCAAGAGAAAUAUAAGGGGAACAAUAAUUACAAAACUACAAAGUAGAAAAACAGCAAGAAGAAUUCAAUAUGUCUCUCAUUUUUUCGACCUACAACUGCAUCAUCUUCUUGUUGACUUGAAAAUUUUAUGCUUCAUUUCAUUAUGUAUACUUCAUCCUUUGCAGGGUUUCUGGGUCUACUUGUCUAGGCCAUGCAGCCACAUUAAUUAUCAUGUUUUUCUUGAUUUGUUUUUCUAAAGUUCACUAAAUACGAGAUUGAUGUGGCUACCGAACUGUUAGAUUUGUGACGACCCUUUCUUACGCAGGUCUUAUAUUUUCGAUAGUUAAGGCUCGAUUCUAUAACCUUCCACUAGCCGCAGUUGGUGAUUGAAUCAUGUUCUGGAGCAACAGGUGAAUUUACAAGUAAAAAUAGUGGGAAAAACCCUUUAUAAGAAAGAGUUAUGUUGAACAGUUACCACAUUUCUGCUUGAUAUUGUUAUGGCCAAUCGCAGUUAUGUGCCCAUUAGGUAAUUUUUGGAUAUCCCAAUGAGUUCUUGAAGUAUCAUGAGUUAGGAGUAAAAAAGGCUUUGAAUGAUGGUUUCAAAUUUGUAGGCAGUAUAUAACAUACGGCUAAAAAUACUAUGUAAACCUAAUUAUAUAGACUAUGUGCUUCAAGUAAUUGUGCGUAUUCCAUUAUUGUUGUAUCUUCUUAAAAAGCACAAAAAUUUAAAGCACGUUGGUCUACAAAGCUGUCUAUUCAUGUAUUUUUGUAGCAAUUGUUGUGCAUUGCCGCCCAGUAUAAUAUUAUUGGUCAUACCAAGUUUUUUUUUCCUGUGUUUGAGUUUCACUCGACUUGAAUGGUUGCACCAAAUUAUGCGUGCAAUAUAUUGUUAUUGGCUGCUAUAAUAAUAAUAAUAAUAAUAAUAAUAAUAAUAAUAAGAUACUGUUCGUUUGGAAGAAAAGUGAAGGAAAAUAACUUUCAUGUUCAUUUGCCAAGAAAAGGGAAGAAAAGUGAAGGAAAAUAACUUUCAUGCAAGUUUUGAACUUUUGUUUGUUAGGAAACUUAUGGGACCCGCCACAUAAAAUUUUCCUGCAAAAUUUUUACUGCUGAAAUUGAAAGGAAAAUGACUAGCGGAAAAGUUUGACUAAUUAGAUAUCUUUUGCAACUCCUUUCUUUCAGAAUACUCCAUCAAUAGGAAAAACUCCUUUCUUAUAUGAACACCCUCUAUGUAGAGAAACCAGGAAAAUACUCUACCAACUCCCGAAGAGAAAAUCUUAACUUGGGGCGCACCCAAAGGAACAAGGUAUAAAAUCCAAACAACACAACCACUGCCAGAAAUACGAUUUAACUAUUUAACUAAUAAAAGACUCCUAAACCUUCUAAUCAGAAUAGAAUAUGAAAUAAUAAAGUAACCGUUAAAGCUACAUUUUUGUUCUUGAGCAGAUCAAUGGAUAGAGACGAUGAGUUCGUGAACCCCGGGCUCUUCAUUCCGUAUCAUGAAUGGUCCAUAAAAUCUCCUCAAAUUAAAGAACUCUUUUGACCACUCAACAGUGUCAAAAUUGGGACUGGUUAUCUUGCCCAAUAAAAGUUGGUUAAGAUUGGACCAGAAGGUCCAGGACAGUAAAUCUUCUCUGAAUAGUUCGUCAUAUUCAUAGCACCUGUAAUUUGUCCAAAGAAAAAAAAUGGUAUGAUAGACUUUUAAUGCCUGAAAGUAUUGCUUGAUUUGUUAUUUGGUCUUCCAUAUAAUUGACCACAAAUCUCUAGCCAUCAAUAUUACCAAUUGACUACUUUCCCCUGCUAUCCCUAAUUGGUUAAAUCUAAGGAGUCGUUUGGUGAAAAUUCAUCAAUUACAAUCACUGUGAUUUUAAUUCACUAGUUAAUAGCAAUGGACUGUUGUUAUGGUUCAGGUAUGAUUUUUUUUUCCCUUUUCCUCACUCUUUUUCUUCUAUUUUUUCACCACUCUCUGUUUCUUCUAGUACUUUUUAUUUUUUAUUUUUAAUUAACAUAUGAGAUACAUGGAUAACUAAAUAUUACUGAAAAAUAGUUAAUAACAAAACCUAUAGAGUGGACUCAAUAUAUAUUAACUCACUCCGAUUGACCUUAACCAAACUAUAAGCAUCACAAUCAUUAACUUUCAAACUAAUUCCUCAGUAUGAAAUCCACUUACCAGACACCGCCUAAGUUUAUGCUGUUUAAAUUGCUAUAUAUAAUUAGUUCUAUAGUAAUUAUGGAUCUUAUAGAGGAAUUUUUUAAGUUGAUGUGGUCAAUCAGUAAACUACAAUUUUAAGUGCUUGUAUUAAGACCCUGUUUGAUAACUCAAUUCAGCACUUAAAUUUAAUGGAUUUAGAUUUUAACAUAUUCAGGACUUUUGAUAACUAAAAAUUGAAAUCUGAAUUAAUUAAGUGGCACUGAAUUUUCUAGGUAAAAAUUAUUCCCAAAAUUAAGUAAUAAACUAUUCACUUGUCACUAAAUGUAAUAUGCACUUAAAUAUAUUAUAUUUAAUAUUUAACAAUCCAAUAACUUAAUAGAUUCAAACUUCAGAUUUCAGAUUUCAAGUUUCAGUUUUCAGUUUUAUCAAACGCACCCUUAUAACUAGAGGUGUCAAAAUGGGUGAGUUGGGCGGGUUUGGAUUGGGUAAAAUGGGAAAUGGGUAUAAGUGAGUCAAUCCAUUUAUACCCAUUUAAUUAGAUAGGUAUAAAUGGGUAAGUCAAAAAAUGAAUUGGAUAACCCAAUUACCGAUUUAUAACCCAUUUAUUUUAACUUUUUGUAAAGGGAAAAUCGUUCAAAACGUCCAUCACAUUUUGUAAAAUGACUUUUUUCGUUCCUCACUUUUAAAAGUGUACUUUUACGUCCCUUACAAAUUCACAUUAGUCAAAUUUGGUCUCUAUUUAGGUUUCCGACUAGUUUUUUGUCGGAAUCCACCACGUACCUUGCACAUGAUCAUUUUUUAAGGGCAAAAUUGUUAAAUCAAAAUUUACAUUAUCCGAUCCAUAGUCCCUUACAUUUUACAAAAUGAAUUUUUUUGUCCCUCACAUUUCACCAAAAUAAAUUGUUUUGUUCUUCACAUUUCACAAAAUAAUUUUUUUGCAUCCCUCAUAUUUUAUAAAAUAAAUUUUUUCAUCCCUCAUUGAUCAUGUGUAUGAAUAAUUUUUUUUAAACUCAUGUAUAUAUCUAUUUGAUCUUACCUAAAUAAUACGAAUAGCAUGUAAUAUAUCUCUAUUUGAUUUUGCUUGAACGUACUGUUCAGGUGAAAUUAAAAUAGAUAUAUACAGUGAUUUAAAAAAAAUUUAGUUUUUCACUCAUGUUCAUUUCCUUUUACUUGAAAAUUGAAAACAAAAAAACAUUUAAUCCUAAAAAUUAUCAAGUAUUUAUAUCGAAUUAAAUUUGGACAGAAAAAAGAAACAAAAGAAAAGUAUAACAAAAAGAAAUAAGUGAUUGACACACAUUCAAAUUUUAAGAUAAUCACAAGGCAAGAAAUUCAACUGUUGGUCUUAAAGGUGGUGCGUAAAAAUUUCAGAUUUAAAUUGCAAUUUGUUAGCAUGACUAUAGAAUUCGACUUAGAACCGAUCUAGAUGGUCUUUUUACCCAACUUAAUAAAUGAAUUAUUAUCAAAAUAGAAAAGACUACAAAUAUUGAAUAGAUUCACAUGGUGAAAUCAAAUAUAUAUAUAUAUGAAUUUAAAAUAAAAUUGUUAAAUUUAAACCCAUGUAUAUAUCUAUUAAAUAGCAUAUGUACAACUACAAUUAGUCUAUUUAGGUAAAAUCUAAUAGAGAUAUAUUACAUGCUAUUCGUACUAUUCAGGUGAGAUCAAAUAGAUAUAUACAUGAAUUUUAAAAAAAAUAUUUUUACACAUGGUCAAUGAGGGAGGAAAAAAUUCAUUUUGUGAAAUGUGAGGGAUGAAAAUUUUAUUUUGUGAAAUGUAAAUGAUGAAACAAAUCAUUUUAUGAAAUGUAAGGGAUUAUAGAUGGAUUAUGUAAAUUUUGAUUUGACAAUUUUGCCCCUAAAAAUGAUCACAUGCAAGGCAUGUGAUAAAUUCUGAUCAAAAACUAGUCGAAAACAUAGGUAAGAACCAAAUUUGACCAAUAUGAAUUUAUAAGGGACGUAAGAGUACACUUUUAAAACUGAGGGACAAAAAAAGUUAUUUUAUAAAAUAUGAGGGACGUUUUGAACGAUUUUUCCUUUUGUAAACUCAUUUAAAUUCAUUUUUGCAAACUAAGUUAUCAAUUUAUAUCGCUCUUUGUACCCCUUAUUAGUUUUAAAUAUUUAUUUAUAAUGCUCAAUAAGCCUAAUUACAAAUUUUUUUCCAUUUAUACUCUAUGUCGCAAAAUUACAUAUUAUUUAAUAAUUGAAUAAUAAGAAUAUCAAAUUUUGAACUAAGUACAAUAAAAGUUAAUAUAAAAACUUAAUCCAAAAAUUUUGAACCCCUAAUAUUUUUUUCAUAUAUAAAUUUAAAAUUUCAUUUUAGAAAGAUAAGAAAAGAGGCUAAAACUUAUCAUAAAUUGGUAAUGCUAAAAAUUGAGUAAGUUAACAAACUAAGAGAAAAUAAAAUAGUAAGAUAAAACCAACAAAUAAUAAUAAUAAUAAUAAAACAAAAGUAGUUAACAUCAUGACAAAAUGAAAAAUCUGAAAAAAAAAAUGGGUGGGAGGAAGAGAAUUCUAAAUGGAUUGGGUAUUAUUAGGUAACCCAUUUAUAUCCAUAUACAAAAAUUUAAGAUAUCCAUACCCAUCUAUUCAUGAGCGGAUAUGGAUAAAUUUAGUUAAGUGGAUUAGUUUGCCACCUAUACUUAUAACUUAAGUGUGUCAAAGUUAUACUUUCAAGAAGAUGCAAUGCAGUUACUAUGAUGUACUGGUAGAGUAACAAGUCUAAACUCUCAACAUAUUUCCAAAAUAGUAAAAUGUGGAAAGAAAAGCAACCGUUUUCCGUUAGCUACAUAUACAGCUACAUCUUUGACUAGGAAGUAAACCCUUUUUCCUUAAUUCGAUUUCUGCCAAGGAAAUAUUCUCAUCCUACGUAAACACAAAGUGGGAAAACUUGAUUUAUCUAUGCCGCAAUGUUCGUUCAAGGUAGCUUCAAUUCGUUGACUAGAUUCAAGUAUGCCUUUCUAGCAAAGCGAUAAUUUUCUUGCCAGAGCAAUUUUUAUCCAAAUACCAAUAUUACCCUCAAUUGGUCAAUCUCAUAUAUUCCAAUUAAUUUUGAUGGAACUUAUUAUCCACUAAUUACCUUUUAUCUUCCUCUAUCUCAUUAAACCAAUGAUUUUUUUAGCUCUCUCUCUCACUUCCCCUCCUAAUACUCCUUCCCAUCUCUUUGCAUCUUUUUUAUUUUACAAUUUCUUUUCAUUUUUUUGAGACCUUUGCAGUAUGUGAUUCAAAAAAUUUUUUUUGCAACCAGUACAUUAUUAUAGAUUUUUAUCAAUUUGUUUCCAUCUCCUUCCAGGUCCUAAGUGCUUUUUAUUAUAAGUGCUUUACCUGUUCUUGGGCGGUUUCAUCAUUUUUAGUUGAACCUUAAACCUUCAUGGUGCAAUGGCUACUUUAGUGAACAAAAUCAUAUUUGUUGGCAAGAGAAAAGGGGGUAUUAAGCCAUAUCAAAUCCUCCAUACCAAGAGUUUUUUUUUUUUUUUGCAUAUUAUAAAAUCAGAACCUCGAUGUCUAAUUUUUUUUAAUUCUUAUGUUUUAUUAAAAACUCUGGGAAAACUGUGUGAUUAAUAUUGUGAUGUCAUUGGAACUCAAUCCUAUGGUAUACCUCACAGGGUUAUUUCUUUGAAUUUUCUUGUUCAUUGUGCCCAUGUACAGUUAAUCUCCUUACGCACUUUACAAUCGUUUCCCCUUUUUACUGUAUUAUAUAAAUCUUGACUUCAACAUAUGUCCAUAUUUUCUAAUAACUAGAUUAAAGUAAUUUAAAAUUGCAUUACUUUCUAUAUCCGAAGGAAAAGUGUGUCUACAAUUUUUUGAUUAUUUUCACUUUAGAUUGUUAGUUAUUUGUGUUAAAUCAUGCUGUAUUUGUGAAAAAUAACUUUUAAGUACAACUUUGAAAAGAAAAAAUAAGAGCACUUUAAAGAAAAAAAUUACAAAAUAAGAAAAAAUUAUGGUAAAAAACUCAAAACCAAAUUAGUGAGUUAUGGAAAUAAUAAGUAAACAAAUUAAAGAAGAAGAAGGAGAAGGCAAACCAGUCAAUUAAUUAGAAAGAGAAGAAGAAUCAAUUAGUUAGAGAGAAGAAUAUCGUCAAAUAGUGGUGAGGUCGAGCAGUGCUUCACACUUUCUAAGGGGAGUAUACAAUUCAAGCAUUGUUACCGACAAGCCAAUAAGGUGGCAGAUAUUCUGGCCAAUGUCGGGUGUACCCUAUCUGAGUCAAUCUGUCUCUAUGAACAUCUAAGUAGCCUGCCAGGGAUAGCCAGGGGCGAAUAUCGUUUGGAUAAAUUGGCUUACCCAUCUAUUCGAAGACGUCGCAUUAAGUAAGUUUCUUAUAUUGGGCUUGUAUGGAUGAGGUCAGGUUUAUGCCCCCCUCAGGAACUGAUUUAAAGUAAUAAAAUUGGGACUGGCAUCCCAACCCCAGCUCUGGGGGUUGCAAAAAAAAAAAAAAAGGAGAGAAGAAAGAGAAUACUUAGUGGAUAAUGAGCCCCAACGAAAUUAAUGAGAAUAUAUGAAGUUGACCAAUUAAGGGUAAUAUUUUGAUAUUUGGAUAAAAAUUACUCUGAUAAGAAGAUUAUUGCUUUGGCAGUAUGGCCAGCUAUGCCUUUCUAAUAAAGAGGUUCCUUGCACACAUAAAAAUUGUUGAAAUCUAUAUGUAAGGUUCUUCAAGCAAUGCAUUUAAAAGGAAUUGAUACCAAAUAUAUUGUGAAAUUCAUUUCCAAAUAUAGGACAUUCAAUUAAUCUGAAUUUGUCAAUGUGAGAAACGGAUCCUUAUCGCUAGUUACUUCCAUUUGGAAUCGUUGGUCAAACAAAGUGUAAUAAUUGUUAAUAUGUAUAUAUAUAUAUAGUAGAUUAAGUGAAAUUUAAUCCAAACGUGUUAAUGGAUAUUCAUUUGAAAGUCUCUUCUACUAAAACCGAGUGUCUUGCGCACAUAACAGUUGUUGAAAUCUUUAUAUAAGAUUCUUCAAGCAAUGCAUUUAAGAGGAAUUGAUUUCAAAUAUAUAUUUGUGAAAUUCAUUUCCAAGUAUAGGAUAUUCAAUUAAUGUGGAUUUGUUAUUGUGAACCCAUUUGGUAUCAUUGGUCAAACGUUUUAUCCCUACUUAUUUGUAGGGUGUUCAGUUGAACUCCUUUCUUGAAUUCAUCUUAAUCAGGAGAUGCCAAACCUUACUUGAUACUUCACUUUACUCCAAGAAUUACUUUGAACCUUGAUUAAGUCUUUCGAUGUAAUUAACAUUCCGAGGAACAAACUUGGAAUAGCAAAGGAAACUGCUAUCAAUAAUCAAUUUUUUUUUUCACAUAGGAAAGUAGGAAAAAAGAAAGUGACUUUUUAAGAGGGAGCUAACAACACGAAGUCAACAUAUCUUUAGCAAAGCCAUGAAUAGCAACCUAUAAAAGUACGAUGUGUCUGACGGGUGCCCGUAAGACACUCAUUGAAAUAUAUUUUAAGCGUUAUAUUUUUGAAAAUAUAAGAUUAAUUAGAGAAAGUAAAUAAAUAUAAGAGAGGGUGUGCAAGAUUAAAUAGAAAAAAUAUAUAAAUGAAAAAGAUGAUAAUAAUUGCUUGUUUAUAUAUAUAUAUAUAUAUAUAUGGUAAGUUAAGUAAUUAUUAGGCUAGAACACCGGUUAGAAAAACCCAGAAAAUUAUACCGCAAAAAAAAUGUGGACUUGGAACAAAUGUUUUAGAUAUUGAAAUGAAGAUUAUUUUUAAGAUAACGUUGAUAUAUUUUAAGCUUGUAUAAUUAGAAUACCUGGUGAUGUCUUAGAAUCACGUUUAACGGCAUUGUAUGAAAUUAAUUUUUUGAAGUGAUGUAAAAUUAUAUUAAAAAAAUUUCACAGGGUUGUCUUACAUAGAUAAUAUUUUACCAUAAUUAAAAAUAAACUUCUAUAAAUGGAUUUGUAGUGCUAUAUUUAAAUAAAACUCAUAAAAAUGUGGCACCAAAUUAAUUACAUUUCUUUAGGAUACCACAUCACAAUAUGAUGAUACCGACGCGUCUUUAGUUGGACCAGUGGUAAAAAGCUCGACUAAUCUGUAUUAUGAGGUAAACUGGUCAAUUACUCUUGCGUCCUUUUGAUAUAAAAAAAAAAAUAUUUUUCAAAAAUUGUAGAUAAUUCAGUUGCAAAAAAAAAAAAAAAAGUACUUAGCCCAUUUUUGAAAUUGAUUUUCUCUAUGUGAAUUACAUUAAAAAUUUGCACAUAAAUGUAUAACAAUAUUGAUGAAGAUGUACAUUACUUUCCUCCAAAAAAAAAAAAAAUUUCGUAGAAUAUGGAGCAAAGUCUUGGAGCUUAAAUAUACUCGAGCCCACAUAGCAAAAAGAGUGGAACCAAACCAAUGAUUAUGUGCCUAUUAGCUAAUUAUAAUGAGAAUUAGCCAAUUAUUAGUACAAGGAAAAUAUGAAGAUGAUAAACACCGAACUCUCGACUACUAAUUUUUUAAAUUUAUAAUUAUUCUAUAAUAAUUAUCCCAUAUUCUAUAAUAAUUAUCCCAUCUUUUUAUCGCUAUCUAUUUUUUCAGUAUUUCCACCUCUGAAGAUACAUUUCCUGAUUUUUAAAAAUUUCAAAGGAUAUAAAUAACGUUGAAAGGAGUUUUGUAUACAGCUCUAAAUUCAACAACAAAUUCAGCUAUAAUCUAAAAAUGUCUUUGGACAAAUAUACCCUCCAAUUCGCAAACUCCAUGGCUCACAUCUCCCCUUCGGAAAAAGGGUAUAACAGUCCAAGAAUUCCAAAAGAUACCCAAAAUUCGCCAAGUAUUUCCAGCAUACAUCCACCUAUGGAGGGGCAAAAUGGUAAUCACAACCUGACGGCAUCGACAGAACACGUCUCACGACAGUUAUGGCUAUGUUGUUAUAUUCUUCUUAACGUAGCCUAUAAAUUCUCUGCCACCAUUUCUCAGAUUUUGCCUAGUCUCUUCUUCAUCAUCUUCUUCAUCUUCUAUAUUCUUAUCCUAUAAUUUUACACUGAAAAGAUGAAGAAAAGCAGCAAUGGCCAAAAUCAAGAAAUUGAUGCAUUUUUAUCUGUAUCAAUUUUGUAAGAGUAUUUGACAACAUGGGCAACUGCUUUGUUAGGCCAAAACUUAAGAAAGUUGAACAUGUUAUGAAUCCUUACGCUUCUAAUUCCAAACUUAUGCAACCUCCUAACAACGUUGUCCUUCCCCCUAGAGGAUUCUCUGCCCCAGGUAACUUAUUUUAUUUGAAUUCAUUUUUUGUUUCUAAAUUUUUCCUAAUGAUUGCAUGCAUGCAAUUACUGGCGUUAUUUUGUAUCAAUUCCUACCUGAGAAUUUGGGUUCUUAUUUAUGGAUUGAAAGUUGAAAAUAGGUGUCUUUUCAUCGAUCAACCCUUAAAAUUUUCAUUGUAUGGCUAGUGUUUACAUCGUUUUCCCCGUAUGGAAAUUCAUCUGAAUUCUAAAGUUGGAGCUGUUCGUUGGGAGAAAGUGCUAAAUGGAGCAAUUUCUUGGGUUUUUGGUAGUAUUUCUUUGGUUGGGCCAUGUUGAAGAAGGCUUUACUCAGUAUGCUUUUGCACGCCACAAACAAUGUAGCAUUGGUUUUUAUGUCUCUGUGUACCAUGAUUGAUGAUCAAGUUGUUAAAGCUUACUUUUGGAAUUUUCUUGCUAUUGAUCUGUAUUCGUAAAUUGAUUCCUUUCUUUCAAGCUUUUUUUUUUUUUUUGUGUGAGAUGUUUAUUUCAAGGAAUCAAUUUAACUUCUAUUGAAUGACUUUAAAUAGGACUGUUUUUUCAAAACACUUCCAAGCAAGAGUUGUUUAGAAUUCUCAAUGCAGAGUGAAGGAGUUUGAUUUCUUCUAUAAAGAGUAUAAUUAGGCAAUUAUAUGCCUCGAAUAGUACACAUAAGAUUGAUACAUUCUGGUAAAAAUGGAGUUUUCUGCAGUUGUUUGAGAUGACUUCUUGUUAGAUUGUGAUAUAAAUUUGGAGUAUGUUUCAAAAUUAACGCAAACGUCCUUAAUUAGCAGCAUUAAUUUGAAAGGAUUACCAGGAAGACCACCUCUUUGGUGUGCCAAUAUGGUUUUGCUAGGACGAUCUAAGGUUUAUGAAGAGGUUAAGGCAUCAUCAUAAAACACCUUUAGGGACCAGUAUCAUGAUGAAAAACUUUGAGAUUUUUGCAAUUUACCCUUCUUAAAGACACCAUCGGUUUGAACCUUGAUGAACGCUGUCUUCAUUUUCUUCGUUUCAUAGUCAAGGAGUACAAGUGAAUUCCUAGCAGUUAUCAACUCUUCAAUGAAAUUGGUAAACUUAAACUAUCAGAUUCUAAUUAGUCAAACAAGAUCUUGAGGCAAAGAGUUACUAAAUAGAUUCAAAGUGAAUUCUAAAAGAUACUUUCAUCUCGAUGCCAGUUUAGCUGAGCGGCUUGGAUGAAAAUUGUUGUCUUAUAAGUGCCAUUUCAUAGAUUUCAGUUCUUACUUAUGUAGCCACAAGCAAGGAGAAAUAAACCAUAACAGAAAACUAGGUAAAUAACUUUAGCUAUCUAGUACACCUCCCACCAAUGUACGAAGAAGUGGUGGAAAGAUUGGUAUUGGGGGAAAAAUAGUUUAUUCAUGGAACUACUACAUUGCCCUUGACGACAACUAAAGUUAUGCAUUUCUUCCUUUUCCUCUUUUUCCUCAAAAACUUGUUGUAAUGUGUAUGCAAUUGUAUUUUGCGAAGUUCAAGAAGAAUUAUGAGUAAAUGUUUCACACUUUGAGUAGCAUUUUAUGGACUGAAUCUUCAAAUUGCUUAUGCUUCCUUCCCUCUUUUGGCAUAUGCUACAGAUUAAUUUUUAAGAACUUUGUCCUGAUACGGAUCUUAUAGAUCGUAUACCAUAUAAUAAUGAAGAAUCAAGCCAAAGAAUUGCUCAGUUAGAAAUUUUGGGAUCAACCAUUGGACCAUGGAGUCGAUCUUUACCAUGUUUACAUAGUAAUCUUAUCUCUUCUGCUUAAUUAUCAUCUUUACCCUUUUUUUUUGUCUUUUCUUGCUUCAGGUAUUGCAUUUCCUGACCAACGUAGUCAUCCUUUACCUAUGCCAACUCCAGCAGCGCAAACUUCAACAGAUAAGAAGAGAAGUGGAGUUUUACCAAAUCCGCCAACUCUAGCACCUCAAACUUCAACAGAGAAGAAGAGAAGUGUAGUUUUACCAAAUCUGCCAACUGAGAGUCAAAUUUUGGCAUCUCCCGGUCUAAAAUCAUUUUUGUAUACUGAACUUUGUAAGGCCACUCAAGACUUCUGUCCCGAAAAUCUCGUGGGUGAAGGUGGCUUCGGUUGUGUUUACAAAGGAUGGCUCGCAGAAGAUACCCUUAAUGCUGCAACACCUGGUUUAGGCAUGGCUGUUGCAGUAAAGAAGCUUACACCCCAGGGGUUUCAAGGCCACAAGGAGUGGUUGGUACGUAUCUUGUACAAAUUUCUCCUUUUGAGUUUUUGACUGAUAACACAUAGUUCCCUCCUUCGGCUAUGAAGUUUCUUUUCUGUUUCUGUUUCUCACGCUGAUGUCUGGUUGAGCAGUCUGAAGUAAAUCAUCUUGGCCGACUUCAUCACGCUAAUCUAGUCAAGCUUAUUGGGUUCUGCUUGAAAGGCGAAAACAGGCUACUAGUGUAUGAGUACAUGCCCAAACAUAGCCUGGAAAAUCAUUUAUUCAAAAGUAAGGAAUUUUAGUUUCAAGAAAAUUUGCUUGGCUACUAUCAUAUUGUAUGCAACACUAAGCACAUGUAGAACUAUAUUUAUCUUUCCAGGGUUUGCUAUGGUACAUUCAUUUCAGUCCAGCUAAAAAAUCAUCUUGAUUUGCAGGGUGCAGACAACCUCUCUCGUGGGAAACAAGGGUGAAGAUUGCUGUAGGUGCUGCUCGGGGCCUCUAUUUUUUGCAUAAUUCUGAACCGCCAAUCAUAUAUCGUGAUUUCAAAGCUUCUAAUAUUCUAUUAGAUUCGGUAUGCUAGGUUUUACUUUCCUUCUUUUGGGUGCAUAGAUGUUUCAUUUCAGGAAAUCAGCCAGAGAUUUUGAUUAAACAUGAGCUGUAUUUACUAGAGCAAAGUCUUUUCAGUAUUUUUUACAAUUUCCUGUUGCAUCUGUCCACUUACCUGGAUAACAAUGUCUUACCCCUCAAUAAUAACGCUAAAAGAACAGGCUGGUCAAAAUAUGCCUAAGAUGAGAUAGACAGAAACAGGACUAUCUGGAUGACCUCAAAUGGUUGGGACUGAUAUAGUUCAGACUUAAAUCAAGACCCUCUAACAGCUUUACAUUUGUAGGACCUUAAAUCUUCGAUCAUGUAUAUUUUUUAUUCACCGGCAGUUAAGCUGAUAGUGUUUGACAAACUAGUCACAGCUCCUAUCCAUCUAUACAGGAAUUUAAUGCAAAGCUUUCAGAUUUUGGCUUGGCGAAACAUGGUCCAACAGGAGAUCAGACGCAUGUUACUACGAGAGUCAUGGGAACUGAAGGUUAUGCUGCUCCAGAAUAUCUUAGAACAGGUUAAUCUUCUACCCUUCUGAUUAUAUAUAUAUUUUUUGUGUCCUGCUUCACAAGGAACGCCUGUAAAUUUACCCAAGAUGUGACAAAAGAAUUUUGAGCUUGAAACUCGAAAAGUUGCUGUCUUUGUGCUCAGCUGAUUGAUUAUUGUGUAUCAAGCGAGCAGGCCUCUAAGCGAACAUUAACUUCUUGUGAUAUUGAAUUUUUGGUUUCACCACUUUGAUGAUGUAUCCUUUUCAUAGAGCUAUAAUACUUUUGGUCCAUUUUUUGUGACUGUUGCCUUAUCUCAAGUUUGGCUUUGCUGACACAUGUUGCCCAUAAAAAUCAUACUGCGCAGGAUUAUUUUAUGUUUCUUUUGAUUUGAUUAUAUCACUUGGACCGUUUGGCCCCAAUGAAGUUCUACUUUCCAGUUUUAAAUGUAUUGACAGAGUUUGCUAAAAUUCUGUGCACAUAUGGGUUUAGGAUAUAACAGAAGCAAGUAAUACACUAUGGUCGUUUAUUGCAUCAGAUUGCUCCAUCCUGUCAAUUGAAUUCCACUUUAUAGUACCAGUUACUCCUGUCUAGAUGCAACUUUGGCUGAGAAAAUAAGGUUCUGAUCCUUCAGUUGGUUCACCUUGUUAGGAAUUCUCAUGUUGUUACUUUCUUUUUGUUACCUUAACAGGCCGAUUGAAUGUCAAAUGCGAUGUUUACAGCUUUGGAGUGGUACUUUUUGAGCUGCUGACGGGUCGAAUUGCUGUUGAUUAUAGAAGAGCUAAAGAGGAGCAGAAUUUGGUUAAAUGGGUAAGGCCUCACCUGCGUGACAAACGUACAAUAGCCAGGAUCAUGGACAGCAGGUUAGAGGGUCAGUAUCCCAGGAAAGGAGCUUAUGUUGCUGCUACUAUUGCAUUAUAUUGUGUGAAUCCGGAGCACAAAUAUCGGCCGCCUAUGGCAGAAGUCUUAGAGUAUUUGGAACACCUCCAAUCACCAAAGUUUCAGAAGUUACCCACUUCGUCAGAUUCAAUGCAACAAAUGCAGUCAAGUUCAAUAUCCAGAACUCCGCCGCCUGCACUUCACCUUUCACCUCCAAAUUGGUCACCUGUUAAUCGAUCACCACGUGGAUCUUGUAGACCACUUCCUCUAAAAUCCCCACACCACUCUCGAUUUUCAACUUACCUGGAAUCAUGACGAACAAUUGAAUGGAAGCAAAUUUUGCUUAUGAUGUUAAUUGUGAUCCAAAGUCCAACUGUGAAUAAAGCUCCAUGUGGGAAAAAUAUUUGUUUCAUCUUUACAAUUUUGAUACAGGUAAUAGCCUUCUUUGGAAAUACAAAGCAUAGAAAAGCAAAAAAGAUGGAGUGAGAACCUUUUUCCUUAGUUCCUUUGUUUCUUUUCUAUAGUUAUUAAAAUCAGUAUCAGCAUCAUUUUCCAUCCCGUCUCAUAGUCUGCAAUGGACACAAUCUCCUCAAUCUUUACAUAGAAAUGCAUGUCGUCAAGCUUUAAGUGCGUGGACUGGACUGUUUGAUUCUAUCCACUUGUGGAGAUGGUUUUGUACAGUGGUUUAGGCGGAAUUUGGCUCUUGUUUCUCUUUAGACAUGGUACUGAUCACCAGCAUAUUCGAAGUCAUUAUUAUGUAUGCUACCUUGUAUUCAGGGAAAGUAGGAAAUGCUAAUGAUCUCUACUUCUAUACAUCUUUAGUGCUGGGAGAGGAUUACGAGGACCAGGUGUUCACAGUUUGCAGGUGAAUAUGUUGAUGUAAUUGAGGUGACAAACACUUCGCGUUAUGAAACAGCCUAUCGAUCAUUGCAGGGUAAACAACUUCUCGAUGAUUGCUGAAGUAAUGUUCACGACCUGGAUUUGACUUAUAUUUGACCUGGAUCUCAGUAUGAUUGGGAAUUGUGCUCUUACCUUGGAAGGGAAGACAAAUAAGUUGAACGAAGGAAAAAGUUGAGUUAUUUGCCCGUGUAUUGUCUGCUUGAUUGCUCUUUGCAGCAGCAAGCUAGAUCAAAGCACUGCUAUGGUGCUGUGUAAAGUUCAGACCAUUGAGAGCCCUUCUCUGUAUCCAUGAGGAGAUGUAACAUGCUUUCCCACAGUUUUGUAAUGGCUCUACGAGGAAGUUACAUCUCAAUGUUUUGAAAAUCGAACAGGAUUGGCCAGUUCAACCAGUUAGACCGUGAACUGACCAUGCCUCCAACCCGAUUCAAUAAAAAAUCAAAAAAUUAAUUGAACGGAUCAAUCUCGGUCAAGAACUAGUUGAAUCAGUAAAAGAUGAUAAAACCUAGGUGGUUCAACCUGUUUUUAUUAAGUUUUUAUUUUUUAAAAUAAAUAUUUUAAUUUUAUUCAAAAUUUUUAAUACUAAAAUAAAUAAAAAAUUAUUAAACCUUUUGAACCAGUCGAAUCGAUCAAACUGCAAAUCAAAAAAAUUUUCGAUUCACUCUCCGGUCCGAAUUUAAAAACAUUGAGUUAGAAAUGGUAAAAAUUGUAGAUAUGUAAAGUAGCUUCUCAAAGAAAGGAAGAUUGAGAUAUUACUCAAUCAUUCAUUAGACCAUGGAGAUAGGGAACCACAUAAGCUUCAGCGGAACUUCCAUCUGUCAACAACUUCGUAAGUUAACAUUUAUUCCACUAGCAACAAGUGGAGCUUAAAAGAAAAACAAACUUUUGAUUUGACAAUAUUCAGCUGAUGUGACAAAUGACUAUUGAAAGUAGACUAAAGCACAGCAGUAAGGAUUAGGGGCGGGAACGGUCAUCAGAUGGACCGUCCUCGAGUGGUCUCCUCACAAGUGGCAACGAAAUGUAAGAAAUGAUCCACGUUAGGAAGCCUUCAGCAGGGACAAAAAAUGAUGUUGUUUGAUUUAGUGAAAAGGUAAACAAAAAAAUAGAAGAAAUGCUGACCGUAACAGACUCGUUACGAAACGUCAGCAUCGAGAAUUAGCAAAAUCCUGCUCAAAAUGAAUCGUUGAAAAUGAAAAGACCCAAUUACACUCCCUCGAAAACGAAGCAGUUGCCGAAAUCCACAUCUGCCAAAAAAUAGGGCAAGAUACAAGAGGAGAAAAUAACAGAGAAAAAUAGAAGAUUGGCAACAUACGUGCGACAUUGCGAAAAGAUGUAGAACUGCGGCAUUAUUGAAGAAAAAUCACAGCAAGGAUAAGCAAGAAGUGGUGGCAGAAGAACAAAUUUUUUGUGAUUAAGGUUUAUUUAAAGAAGAAGAAAGGUGAACCCAAAUUACAAAGUGGAAGAUCGUGGGAUCCGGAGUAGUGAUCGAGCACAAAGCAGUCAGGUAAAAUAUGAGAAAGUCUUAGGUGAUAUAGUAAUGUGCAUAGUUUGACAAAAAAGUGGAAGGACUUUACUUGUGGAUGUUUUUUGUGUACACUAUGAUGAUUGCAUAGAGGGAUGCUACGUGAACACGAUUUUGUGUAUAGUAAUUGAUAAGUGCAGCGUCAAAAGAGUAUUAUGUGUUAGUCUUUGAGCGUCGAAAUAGGAGAGUGGAAAAUCUUGCGGCAUAACUGCUUGAGAAAAUGUGUGCAUGGUAGGUGGAAAAAAUGGGUGUAGGUUGUAAUUACUAUGUGCUAAGUAGAUCGUACAACGUGUUGAGGGUAUCAUACACUGCGAAACCAAAUAGUCAGAAGAUCAUUCAGUGAAGGACGGCUCACACAGCACGUUGGAUGAGUAUUAUCUUAUGUGAAUAAAAAGUGACAUGGAAAAAAAAUGUUACAGUGUGUUAAGGUGUAAAACAUUAACAUAACAAAGUCAAAACAUGGUAUAUGUAAUACAUAGUAUAAGAAAAAAGACUAGAAAAUAACAAAAGUUAGGGGCGAAGGACAUAUUAUAUUGUAUUGUGAAAGUGCUACCUCCUGUAUGUGACCUGAGUCCCAUUUGAAAAAUAGGACCAUAAAAGAUGAAAUGGAUUGCAUGGAAUUUGAAGAUAGGAGAGUUGGCAAUAAUAUAAAUACGUUAGGCAGAAUAACAGACUGUUGUGCGUGUCAUUCUCAGCGUGCAAAAAAUGUUACAAGUUUCGUUAGUUUAUGGGCAACAAAACAAUGUUGGAUAGGUCUUACAUGUAGUGGAUGACUAGGUACAUAACAGAAAUAGAAUAGAAAUGUUAGUGUGAAAUUGGUAUGUUGUAUUUGAAAUUUCAUUGGUGUAUGUGUGUUGUAUUAGUUCAUGUGCAUGAACACAAUGUUGGAUAAGUCUUACAUGUUGUGGAUUAACAGGUACAGAGAAGAAAUAGAGUAGAAAUGUUAGUGUGAAAUUGGUGUGUCGUAUUUGAGACUUCAUUGAUGUAUGUUUAUUAUAUUAGUUCGUGCGCAUGAAUAUAAUGUUGGAUAAGUAUUACAUGUUGUGGAUUAAUACGUAUAGAGAAGAAACAGAAUAGCAAUAUUAGUGUGAAAUUGGUAUGUCGUAUUUGGGAUUUCGUUGGUGUAUGUUUAUUGUAUUCGUUCGUAUGCAUAAACACAAUGUUGGAUAACUCUUACAUACUAUGGAUUAAUAGGUACAUGACAGAAACAGAAUAGAAAUAUAAGUUUAAAAUUGGUAUGUCGUAUUUGGGAUUUCAUUGGUGUAUGUUUAUUGUAUUAGUUCGUGUGCAUGAACAUAGUUUUGGAUAAGUCUUACAUGUUGUGGAUUAACAUGUACAGAGAAGAAAUAGAGUAGAAAUGUUAUUGUACUCAAAUUAGUAGGUCAUAUUUACUACUACAUUAGCGUAUGUUUAUUGUAUUAGUUGCAUAAAGAUAUUGUUUAUUUUAUCAAAACUAAGAGGUAGGAGAGCAGAAUGCAAUUGAAAAAUGUUAGUUAGAAUAAAAAGUUGUCCAUCUGCUUGUUGAAAGAUAGAACAAAAUAUCGGUCACUUCUCUUAGUUAGUCGUUGUAUAGAAUGUGUUACUUAGAUUUGGAAGUAGUAUAUCAUGCGUAACUGUAUUUUGUACUGUAUUAUGGAGGUAAAAUCUUAAAAAUUGAGAAGUAGAAAAUUUGUAAUAAAUUUUUGUAACAAAUGAUUGUAGAUGGCACAAAAGAGAUCAAGAAAAUCACCUAAGAAAAUGAGCAGAGAAGAAGAAGGGGGAAUACGCUGUGAAAGGGAAAGCUAGACACCAUCAAAGGCAUUGAACAAGUAAGUGGGUAGUAUCUUUGCCUAAGCAUGGCCAAUAGGAAGUGACAUACAUAAAUUUGAUUACAAUGUUAAUGAGCAGACGCAGGAUGGCACGGAUAAGAAUCGGAAGACGGAACAAGAGUUUAGGUAAAAAUGAAGAAAUAGAGGUAGCGGGAACUAAUGAAAUCAGACAACCAGUUCCACCGUUGAAUCCGUGGAUGAAGUUCAGGUAAUGUUGAUGUUAAUUAAAAAUAAUAAUCAUGACUAAAACGCACAGUUAAUGGGUUUAUGUUUAACAUGUGUAGGAAGGAGUAUCAAAGCACUGUUCUAGUGAAAGGCAUUAAGAUAACAGAGGUAUGCAUGAAAACCUAAAUAAAGCAUUAAUCAACAAAAUUGUAACCUGAUAAAAAUAAAAAACACAAUUAGAAAAUGUUGAGUUGCAUAUAACAUGAUUCAUGAUUAUAUGCAUUCAAUACAGUAUAAUAAAAUGACCAAAGUAGCAUAUGAUAAGCUGAGCGAGAAAGAUGUACAGAAACGAAAAGAGAACUAUCGGAAAGAGAAAGAAGAGUACAAGAGAGAAAUGGCGCGGUUUGGAAAGGUUAUAUUGCCAAAAAAGCGGAUGAAGGUAAACACGAAGCAUGGCUGGUGAAAUAAGUUGUUUUGUGAUAUUCUGUGUAUGGCUAACUAGUUUUUUUUGUUGAACUUGAUUAUAGAAUCAGAAGUACACCAUUCAUUGUUCACCAAAUCAGAUGUUUUAGUUAACAUCAAACAUCAAUGAAACAAAAAAACAGCAAAUUAGAGAUAUAGGUUUUGAAGGGCUGCUGGAAAUAAAGUGUCGCUCUAUUCCGAAUGGCAUAGAAACCUGGUUGGUUGACAAUUUUAAUCCGACACUAAGUAGCUUUCAGUUACAUAGAGAUGGUGUGCUACCCUUAAUAGCAAAAGACAUCAGUUUAAUCCUUGAAAUCCUGAAUGACGGCCUUUUACCAGUUGAAGAUGCUCAUAGCAGUGAGGGUAGAGAUUCUGGGUCAAGUCGCCGAACAUACAAAUGGAAAGAGCUGCCAAAGGAGUUAGUAUCCAUGAGCGGUGGGAUACUAACUCCGUUGGCAGCUCUUUCCAUUUGUAUGUUCAGUGACUUAGUUCAGAAUCUCCACAUUCACUACUAUCAGCAUCUUCAACUGAUAAAGGCUAUCAUUCUGGAUUCCAAGAAUUAAACUGAUGUCUUUCGCUGUUAAAGGUAGCACACCAUCUCUAUGUAGCUGAAAGCUAUUUAGUGUCGAAUCAAAAUUGUCGACUAGCUAAGUUCCUAUGCCAUUCGGAAUGGAGCGACACUUUAUUUUCAGCAGCCCUCCAAACCUCAUAUUUCUGAUCUGCUGUUUUUUUGUUUCAUCGAUGUUCGAUGCUAACCAAAACAUCUAAUUUGGUGAACAUCGAAUGGUGUACUUCUGAUUUUAUAAUCAAAUUCAAAAAAAAAAGAAAACUAGUUAACCAUACACAGAAUAUCACAAAACAACCCAUUUCAGCAGUCAUGCUUUGUGUUUACCUUUAUCCACUUUUUUGGCAGUAUAGCCUUUCCAAAUCGUGUCAUUUCUCUCUUGUACUCCUCUUUCUCUUUUCAAUAGUUCUCCUUUCGCUUAUGUUUAUCUUUCUCGCUUAACUUAUCAUAUGCUGCUUUGGCCAUUUUAUUAUACUGUAUUGGAUGCAUAUAAUUGUGAUUCACGUUAUAUGCAACUAAGCAUUUUCUAAUUAUGUUUUUAUUUUUAUCGGGCCACAACUUUGUUGAUUAAUACUUUAUUUAGCUUUUCAUGCAUAUCUCUGUUAUCUUAACGCCUUUUGGUGGAACGGUGCUUUGAUACUCCUUCCUACACAUGUUAAACAUAAACCCAUUAACUGUGCGUUUUAGUCAUGAUUAUUAUUUUUAAUUAACAUCAACAUUACCUGAACUUCAUCCACGGAUUCAACGGUGGAACUGGUUGUCUGAUUUCAUUUGUUCCCGCUGCCUCUUUUUCUUCAUUUUCACCUAAACUCUUGUUCCGUCUUCCGAUUCUUAUCCGUGCUAUCCUGCCUCUGCUCAUUGACAUUGUACUCAAAUUUAUGUAUGUCACCUCCUACUGGCCAUAUUUAGACAAAGAUACUGCCCACUUACUUGUUCAAUAUCUUUGAUGGUGUCUAGCCUUCCCUUUCACAGCGUAUUCCCCCUUCUUCUCUGCUCGUUUUUUUAAGUAAUUUUCUUGAUCUCUUUCGUGCCAUCUACAAUCAUUAGUUACAAAAAUUUAUUACAAAUUUUCUGCUUCUCAAUUUCUAAAAUUUUACCUCUAUAAUACAGUAUAAAGUACAGCUACGCAUGAUAUACUACUUCCAAAUCUAAGUAACACAUUCUCUACAACGACUAAAUAAGAAAAAGUACCGAUAUUUUGUUCUAUUUUUCAACAAGCAAAUGGACAACUUUUUAUUCUAAUUAACAUGUUUCAAUUGCAUUCUGCUCUCCUACCUCUUACCUUUGAUAUAAUAAACGACAUCUUUAUGCAGCUAAUACAAUAAACAUACACUACUGUAGUUGUAAAUAUGACAUAUCAAUCUGGGUACAAUAACAUUUCUACUCUGUUUCUUCUCUGUACCUGUUAAUCCACAAUAUGUAAGACUUAUCCAACAUUGUGUUCAUGCGCACGAACUAAUACAAUAAACAUACACCAAUAAAGUCUCAAAUACGACAUACCAAUUUCAACCUAACAUUUCUAUUAUGUUUCUGUCCUGUAUAUGUUAAUCUACAAUAUGUAAGAGUUAUCCAACAUUAUGUUUAUGUACACGAACGAAUACAAUAAACAUACACCAACGAAAUCUCAAAUACGACAUACCAAUUUCACACUAACAUUUCUAUUCUGUUUCUUCUCUGUACGUAUUAAUCGACAACAUGUAAUACUUAUCCAAUAUUAUGUUCAUGAGCACGAACUAAUACAAUAAACAUACACCAAUGAAGUCCUAAAUACGACACACCAAUUUCACACUAACAUUUCUAUUCUGUUUCUUCUCUGUACCUGUUAAUCCACAACAUGUAAGACUUAUCCAAUAUUGUGUUCAUGCACAUGAACUAAUACAACACACAUAUAUCAAUGAAGUUCCAAAUACAACAUAUCAAUUUCACACUAACAUUUCUAUUCUAUUUUUGUAAUGUACCUAUUCAUCCACUACAUGUAAGACCUAUCCAACAUUGUUUUGUUGCCCAUAAACUAAUGAAACUUGUAACAUUUUUUGCACGCUGAGUAUGACACACACAACAGUCUGUUAUUCUGCCUAACAUAUUUAUAUUACUGCCAACUCUCCUAUCAUCAAAUUUCAUGCAAUCCAUUUCAUCUUUUAUGGUCCUAUUUUUCAAAUGGGACUCGGGUCACAUACAAGAGGUAGCACUUUCACAAUACAAUAUAAUAUGUCCUUCGCCCCUAGCUUUUGUUAUUUUCUAGUCUUUUUUCUUAUACUAUGUAUUACAUAUACCAUGUUUUGACUUUGUUAUGUUAAUGUUUUACACCUUAACACAAUGUAACAUUUUUUCUCCAUGUCACUUUUUAUUCACAUAAGAUAAUACUCAUCCAACGUGCUGUGUGUGCCGUCCUUCGUUGAAUGAUCUUCUGAUUAUUUGGUUUCGUAGUGUAUGAUACCCUCAACAUGUCGUACGAUCUAUUUAGCACAUAGUAAUUACAAUCUACACCCAUUUUUUCCACCUACGAACUUCCAAACUCAUGCACACAUUUUCUCAAGCAGUUGUGCCGCAAGAUUUCCCACUCCAGUUUCGACGCUCAAGGACUAGCACGUAAUACUCCUUUGACGCUGCACUUAUCAAUUACUAUACACAAAAUCAUAUUCACGUAACAUCCCUCUAUGCAAUCAUCAUAGUGUACACCAAAAACAUCCACAAGUAAAGUCCUUCUACUUUUUUGUCAAACUACGCACAUUACUAUAUCACUCUAGGCUUACUCAUGUUUUACCUGACUGCUUUGUGCCCGAUCAUUACUCCAGAUCCCACGAUCUUCCACUUUGUAACUUGGGUUCACCUUUCUUCUUCUUUUAGUAAACCCUAAUCACAAAAAAAUUGUUCUUCUGCCACCACUUCUUGCUUCUCCUUGCUGUGAUUUUCCUUCAACAAUACCACAGUUCCACAGCUUUUCGCAAUGUCACACGUAUGUUGCCAAUCUCCUAUUUUUCUCUGUUAUUUUCUCCUCUCGUAUCUUGCGCUAUUUUUUGGCAGAUGUGGAUUUCGGCAACUGCUUCGUUUUGGAGGAAGUGUAAUUGGGUCUUUUCAUUUUCAACUAUUCAUUUUGUGCGGGACUUUGCUAAUUCUCGGUGCUGACGUUCCGUAAUAGGUCCAUUACGAUCAGCACUUCUUCUAUUUUUUUUUACCUUCUCACUAAAUCAAAUGGCGUCGUUUUUUGCCCCUGCUGAAGGCUUCCUGACGUAGAUCAUUUCUCAUCUUUCGUUGCUGCUUGUGAGGAGACAGCUCGAGAACGGUCCAUCUGAUAACCGUUCCCGCCCCUAAUCCCAGCACUAAGGAACCUACAACUUUAAGCGUCCAAUUCAAUGAAAAAUAUAUAAAAUUGAAACUGCGCACUUUCAAUUUGAAUAAGGAUAAGGGUAAAUGUGCAUCACAUUUUCAAGAUCUUCAUUUGCUUCUACAAGGUAAACUUAUAAAAUUUGAGUUUUUUGGUGAGUAUCAUGCUAACAAAAAUGCUUUUAGUUGCUUUUAUGAAGUUUUGCUUAGGGUUAAAUGUCGAAAACCUCCAUGAAUUAUAGUAUGAGUUGCACUUUGUACCCUGAACUAUUUUAAUGAGCGCUUUACACCAUUGGUCAACUAAACAAUGAUGAAAAAAAUAAGUCUAGCCAAGUAAUUGAUUAAGUGACCGAUUUAUCCUCCAUUAAAAGUUUAAGUGACAAAAAUACUCUUUUAGCAAGAAAAAUUUUCACUUUAGAAAGACUAAUUUUAGCUUCAUAUUAAAAGUUUAAUUGAAAAUAUUUACAUAAAGGGGACAAAAUAUGAAAAAAAUUUGAAGAACUACUGUUACAAUUUCUAAAAUCUCAUCAUCUUGGUUAGCACAUCAUAAUGCCAUAUCUUCACGUAAUAGCAAAAAUUACUUGAAAUCUUACAAGAAUUUAAAUGAAGUAUACCCAAAAAAGAUUAUAUGAAUUUAGCACAAUUAUAUCAGCAAAGGUUCAAUACUACACCCAGAUUAGAACUGGGAAACAAAAUAAUGCACCUAGAAAUUAAAAAAAUUAAAUUAGUUUUAUGCAUAUGAAAAGAAAUUAAAGGUACAGUUCAAAGUUAGAGAAAUAAUUGUCAUUCAAAAUGACCUCCUCCCCUUCUCCCUCAAUAUAUUGAUUUUUAUAUGUUUCGGUAGUCGAAUGUUGAGAAAUUAAGAAUUGAAAGGUUUCCCUUCUUUUGCUUGUAUCAUAAAUACAUUUUCCAAUUUACCCUUUUAUAUUUCCAACCAUCUUUUUAUCUCACAUAUAUCACAUCACAAAAAGUGUUACAGUAAUUAUUCCAAAUAAUUACUUAGAAUAAUGCUCUAUCCAAACAAAGCCUUUGUUUUCCUUCAUUUCUUUCUUGAGCCGGUCCGUUUGUUUGUUUAUAAAUAUUCAGCUGUCAAACUAUUUAUCCUGUGAGUCAUUUUCCUAAAUUGCCAGUUAAACUUUUAAUGGAGGAUAAGUUGGUUAUUUCACUAAUUAAAUAAAUGGAGUUAAUUAAUUUUUCUGUCAAUUUUUAGAUGACUAAUAGGGUAAAAUGACUAUUAAAAUAGAUUAUAGUGUGAAGCGCAAUUCUUAUAAUAGUUAGUAGGGAUUUUUUUGCAUUUAACCCUUAAUAAAAUGUCAAUUUCAAUGUAAAACAACCAAAUUGCCAACACCUCAUUAUUGCAUUUUAUCAAUGUAAUGAAGAACCGUAAAUAAUGAAAAAUUUUGAAUAUAUCUUUAAUAAUAGGUCUGAAAUAGGAAUUGGAGUACAACAUGACAUGUCAUCUUUCUUAUUUUUUAUUUUUAAGAAAUCAUAUUUCAUAUUUUUGGUAAAUUAAUACUUCAAUUUCUAUAUUUUUUUUGAUAAAUAUCUACUACUUUUUUUGGACAUACUACUCCUUAUUUCUUUUUGUUUUCUUCGAUAAAAAUAUCUACUAUGUUUCUUAAACCUAUAUGAACUAUAUUGAGGACAUUUAUUUUCUACACAUACAAAAAGUUAUUUUGUCAUUAGAACAUUUUAUCAAGUCAAGUGAUACCAAAACCUUUCGAGAAUUCCUAAUUGUAGUAUAUGGUAAUUUAGUUUAGGCCCAACCCAAACCGUUAUUAUUCAAGUUCACUUUUUUUUUCCUUUUCUUUUCUUUUUCCUCUGAAGAAAAUUUAAAUAAUAUAUAAAAGAUUAAAUGCAGAAAAUUUCUGUGAACUAUUACGCUAGUUGUACCAUACACCCUAAAUUAUUUUAUUAGGCACUUUACACUCUUGGUCAACUAAAAAAUAAUAAGACAAUUAACUGCAUCCAAAUAAAUUGAUGAAAUGACCAAUUUAUCCUCUAUUAAAAGCUUACAAAUAUCAAAAAUACCUUUUUUGGUGGAAAAAUAUUGCCACUUUAAAUGGAUUAAUUUUCAUUUUAUAAUAAAAUUCUAAUUGAAAAUAUAUAACAAUAAAAUAUAUGAUCACUUUGAAUGAAAGUUAAAACAAAAGAAGUAGGAUAAAGGGAAGAAAGGGAAUAAAUUGAAUUCAAAAGUCUCAACAACCCUAUUUUACUACAUAUUUCAAGUUAACCUAUGUAAGAAAAGAUUGCUACCAAGGAAAAGGCACUGUGAAGUCCUGUUUAUUCCUCUAAUUUUGUGCAAUACUUUCAUUUUAUUUCUAUAUGCAUAUAACAAAUUAAAUAAUUUAGGUGUUUUAUUGAAACAUCUGAGUCCAAUAUUUUGUUUACUAAAGUAUGGGUUUUAUUUUACGUUUGGUAUUUUAAAUCUUUGUUAUAAUUAUCGUGCUAAAUUCAUAUGAAAAUUUUUCGGUUUUACUUCAAUUUUAUUCUUGUGAAGAUUUCAAGUGAAAUUUUACUAAUUAUAUGAAGCUCUGGUAUUAUGAUGUGCUGAAGAAAAUUAUAAUUUUAAAAAUUAUGAUUUUUCCAUAUUUUCCUUUCAUUUGACCACAAUAGUCUUAAUUCUUAUUCAAAGCGAAGCAAUAAUACACACACACAUACUUUUUGUUAUAAAGUGAAAAGUUAGUCUAAUUAAAGUAGUAAUCUUUUCCACCAAAAUCGUAUUUUUGCCAUUUAUGUUUUUAUUGGAUAAUAAAUUACUUGAAUGAAAUUAAUUUCGUGUUAAGUGCCUAUUAAAAUAUUUUAGGGUGUAAAGUGCAAGUAGUACAACAAUUUGUGGAUUUUUUUUUUUUUUUUUUUUUGCAUUUAACCCAAUAAAUAAGCACGCUAAUCGAGCAAAUGCAGAAAAUGCCAGGAGUCAACAUUCAACAAUAAAACUCAAGAAACAUUGCAGAGGUUUCAUCUCAAUGGGCUCUCCUGUCUAUUUCUCCACAUAAACCUCAGGUUUCUUUAAAUUUUAUAACCCUUCUUUUCUUUUUCUUUCUAAUUUUUUUAAUCUUUUGGAUAUAAACAGCAUAAAGCUUUAAAUUUUCAUUCUGUCAAGUUAAUAGUUUUUGUGAAUUGUUGAUUGAAUUAUGGUUCUAUGGAAUUUUUCAGAUAGUGGGUUGUAAUUAAAAUUGGAGAAAUUUGAUUUAAAUUACUUGGAAAGAUUGAAAAAGAUAAGAACAAUAAAAGGAAGAGGGAGGAGGGAUGGUGCUGGUUUUAGCAUUGGGUGAUCUUCACAUCCCCCACAGGGCACCUGAUCUGCCUACAAAGUUCAAGUCUAUGCUAGUACCUGGAAAGAUCCAGCAUAUAAUCUGUACUGGCAAUUUAUGUAUUAAAGUAAGUAUCUUUUCUUUGCCCCUUUUACUCAUUCAUUUAUUUGUUAAUUGGUUCUUGAAAAGUUUCCAGAGGUAAGCUAGGCAAGGGUGAGAGACCAAUGGAGUUUUUAGGACGGAGUUUUAGUUUGAUUUUCAGUUUUUAGUUCCAAUUUUGCAGACUGGUUUUUUUAAGUAAAUUGUUGUUCGGGAGUGAAUUUAUCUUAGUUCCUUUGUUUUGUGGUUUAGUUAGGAAAUGAAAAUUUAACUUCCAAGAAAAAGCAGGAGCUCGUUUUUGGUUUUGAAGGAAUAUAAUAAGCGAACUGUACUGUACUCGGUCAACAAUAAAAGCUUCUCGUACUGGUGGAGUAUUCAUGAGAGGUGAUGCAGAAAAUAUGUGACUUGGAAAAGUAAUACUCAGUGAGGAUUUAGUUCUGCUGACAUGUAGUCUAGAGAGUUAAGAUGUUGCCAUAGAGCUAAGAUAUUGUGCAUAAUGUCAUAUUUCCACCAAAAAAGUUUUCUUUUGGCAUCAAUUGUAUUUGAAAGUUAGAGAUGAAUACUUAAUUUUUUACAUGAUUUGCCUUUCGGUUAUCUUAUAUUUUUUGGUUAGUUUUUGUUUUAUGUGAUUUAACAAUUUCUCAAAUUUUUUGUCCGCAUUGUAGUUCUUCUCAGGUACUACCAUUUAAUCGACUACUGAUAGCAAUGUCCUCAAAUGCAAACUUCUGUAAAUACUGUGGAACAAUUCACUUGCAUUAGUAGUACCCUAAUUGUAUAAAUGCAUUGCUGUCUAGAUGCAGUUUAAAACCUAUGUGUAUUUAUUCACUUUAUGAACUUUGAAUGCCAACUUUUUCUGUCAAACACUUCAACUUGAAAUGCUGUUGGAGAGUCAAGGGAAGAGUAAAUCCAAAAAAAUUUUGAGAUUUGUUUAAGCUGUUGUUUGAGCUUCUGGAAAAGUUUAAAGCAGUUUUAACUCUUCAAUAGACUACUCAGCGUUCAGGUUCAUUGUCUUUAUGGUUAUUGAUUAGUGUAAUUUUUGUAAAUUCAAAAAUUCAUCCUGUCAAAUACUUCUUACCAAUUAAGGAACAGGUUAAGGAGUCUAGGAAAAUUUAGAUUUUGUAUAUUAGGCAAUAAGCAUGGUGUCUAAUUGGGAGUCCUCACCACAGAAGGAUAAGCAUUAGCUUAUGGAAAUUUUUGGGAUAAGUAAUCAUGCAUCUUUUAUUAUCUGCAUCUUGAAAUACCAUAAUUGUGCUUUUGAUAAAGUGUUGUUCAUGAGCUUCCCUUGGUUAUAAAGUCAAUAUUACCUCUGAAGGUCGUUUCAAAAACUAUAUGUAGGUUCCUAGAAGUUCUUCUUCUUCUUUUUCUCUUAAUGAACUGUUUGUUGCUUCAAGAUGGUCCUGAAAUAUGUUGAUUUGGUUGUUUGAUUUGCUGGAGCAUUUCCAAAACUUGUUAAACACCACUUACAUUUCCAUGCAAUAAUGUUGGGGGGGGGGUGGGGGUUAUGCAAGAGUGCAUUGCUGCCAAGUAAAUCAUGUGUAUCUAGAUCUGAUUCAUAUAGGAAGAUCUCAAAUUUUUUGGUCAGAAAUCUAACAAGUGAAGGCUUAAUAAACAUCAGUGGCAUGGUAUUAUUAUUCGUUUUUUGAUGAGUAUGGGCCUGAAUUAUUUUUGCAAGUCGAAGAAGGGAAAUUAGAAGAACCAUAGAGUUUAGUUUCAUUAGAAAAAGAAAGCUUUUUUAUCUCUGAUACUCAAACAGCGUAAUCAGAUAUGGUCAAAUUGUGCAGAAAUAAGUAAUCAAGUAAAAAGUGUGGUGGGGAGGAACUGUCAAAAAUCUCAAAAAUUGGGAAUUGGCCAUAGAAAGGGUUCUGGGCAUAAGAUUUUUCAAUACAGAGUGAUUUUAUCUUGUCAUCAAAAUCUUAGCCUAGAGAAAUAAUGAAAAUUUAGUAAAGAUCUGGUCUUAUUAACAUAGCUGAAAGGGUGAAAUAUUCAAAUUUCUCAAUCUUAAUUUGGUACUUUAAUGAUAUUGUCUAGUUAUUUGAAGCUGGUUUCUUAUAAUGUAAGCAAAUCUUGGAUAAGAUUUGAUUUAUAACAUUGAAUAGUUUGGUUUCCAAUUGUUUACUUACUAAGUGCUUGAGCAGUGCUUAAGCGAGCUUAGCUAUAUUGGAAACAAUUAAAAAGCUCAAAAGUGGCUGGAUUUAGUUUAUCAAUCAAAAUUUAAAUACAGUUUUCCCCAGAUGCAAGCUAAAUUUCAAGUAGCUUUGAAAUUGUAAUCAGCAGUGUAGUAGUUAUAAAUCUAUCGAAAUGAAGUUCUUGUGGUUGAUAGUUGGCAUGUUGGAUGAACCAAAGCAAUACCAAUGUCAAUUUAGCUGCUACUUAUAGCUCUGUGAGGAGGAAGGCAAGAUAUCCAUAAAAACUUGUUAGGUCAGUACUGAUAUAAUAUUUUUGAGAAUCAAACAGCUAUAUUGACAACUGAAUGAAGAGUAUGAAAUGCAAGAGUAACAUUUUGCUUUAGAGCCAUUGGAGGUUCUUCUCGUACCUUAGAAGUCCCCUACUGCUAAGCCUUACUGUCAAAGGACAGGUGCACUUUAGCAGCGGAAGAACAUAUGGCUGCUACAGUCAAUUGAUAGAGAUACAGGAUGUUAAGCUCAAAGAGACAACCUUUUGGGUGUCUUUCAGUCUGAAAGAAGGUUCGUAUUGAUAGAGACUUGGAAAGGAGAGAAAGGAAUAUGAGUAGAUAAUGUGCAGGAGCUUUUCAAAGUUAGAUCUCUAUUUCGUAUCCGCUAUGAUAAGUGUGACAUGAAAGAUUUCUUUGUAGUGGGGAUGCAUUUGUUUAGACUUCAUAUGAUGCUCUGUUAAUUUGCCUACUUUUGAAACUAAGGGUCUUAGUGGUAAGCAAUUCUUUUCUUGAGUCUUCUUGUUGUCCAUUUAGUUGGUUUUGCUUUAUUUUGAUGUACUGAAGUUAAAAUUUCCCUGUAACUGUAUACAUGAGGAGUUGAAGGACAUGAGGAUCGCUUGCUUAUGAUUUGGGUGAGUAGGAUGUAAUUUUCAGCAAGCUGUUGCCUAGAGGAUCAUCCAUGCAUACUUAUCUAAUUCUGUACAUGUUAGAAACUAAACCUUCUUUUUAUUUCCUUUUUGUAGCAUUUGGUAAUUAUUCAGCUGUGAACCCUGCUUGUUUAAAGAACAUGCCAAAUCAGAGGAGAGAAAGAUUUAAAGGAAAGAAAAUUAAAUUAUAUAUAGAUGGAAAAUAACUCAAUUGUAGGUGUCUAUCAGAUUAUUCAAGAGAUUAACUCCUGACAUGCUUUUACUUGGGCUUUGUCACAAAAAUCUUCAGCAAUUUGGUGGCAUAGGCUUCAUGGUUGCAAGGCAUUUUUUUUUUCUGUCGAACUGAUGAAGUUAAAUCUUCAGUUCUCGAAAGCACUUGAGUAGAGAUGUUUUACAAACUCUCCUUAGUUUUUUCCCCCCAAUAACAUGUGGAUCAUUGAUCCCCUUCUAGUUAUAUCCCUAAUGCUAUGAUUUUCGGAGUCAUUCGUAGUGGUUCAUUUGGAAAGUUCAUUCAAAUGUGUGAUUUCCAAUAGCAGGUUCCUUCCUGGUAGCUGGCUUUCUGACUUUUGUAGCAUGUUUAUUACUAUUUGGACAAUAUCCAAUGUAAUCUUAGGACUUGGUAUAAUCUUUGUGUAAACAUUUUUCUACACUUUCCCUGUGAAGUUUCGAAAUACAAAUGUAUUUUGCCCUUUUUUCUUAUUUUAUUUUUAUGUACUAUCGGUAUAUGGCUUCUAGCAGAACUAUCGUAAUGUUUGGUAUGCUGUUUACAGGAGGUUCAUGACUACUUGAAGACCAUCUGUCCUGACCUGCACAUCACUAGAGGUGAAUAUGACGAGGAAACACGCUACCCAGAGACCAAAACUCUAACCAUUGGUCAAUUUAAACUUGGAAUAUGCCAUGGCCACCAGGUCUGAUUUCCUUUUCUUUCUUGUGAUUCUUCUGCUUUAGUUGAACUUAACUUGGGGUCGUGCAUUGACCUCCUGGGGUCAGGCUGACCUCUAAUUGGUAGUAGAUAGAACUUCAUCUAACUAAUUUAAUAUUGCAAUAGCAGCUUUUGUGCGUCCUCUUCAGCAUUUGCUAUAGUGGUAGACUUGAUAGCAUCAAAACUGUCUCCUCCCUUGAGCCUAAGAACCACUGCCCCGCCCCCCCUUUCUCCAUACCUCAGCACGCCAUAUGAUAUGCCAAUGUAUAGGUUUCUGGCUGCAAAUAAAAUGCUGGUUUUAAUCUGAUCUUAUCAUAAUCUUUCUGGAAUUUUGCCUUUCUGAAGGUUAUUCCAUGGGGGGACCUGGACUCACUGGCCAUGCUUCAGAGACAGCUGGAUGUUGAUAUUCUUGUGACUGGUCAUACACAUCAGUUCACAGCAUAUAAACAUGAGGCUGGGGUGGUAAUAAACCCAGGAUCUGCCACUGGUGCCUACAGUAGCAUCACCUAUGAUGUCAAUCCUAGCUUUGUGCUGAUGGACAUCGAUGGCCUUCGUGUUGUUGUCUAUGUUUAUGAACUAAUUGAUGGAGAGGUAAAAGUUGAUAAGAUCGAUUUCAAGAAAACAACAGCAUCUGCAAACUCGGCUCACUGAUGACAUGAUGCUGCUGUUUUGGACUACAUAAAUUUGUUCAAGCUUAGCGGUCCAUUUGCUUGUGUGUAUGUUUGAGCUUUAGCUUUACUUCAAUGUGGAUUUUCGUGCGUGCCCUCUUCCUUUUUCUUACUUUUCAUUAUACCUUAGUUGGUCCGAUGAUAUUUUGAGAGGCUGUAAUUAGAUGAUAAAAGGAAUGAGGCUUUAUUGGAUGGUUUAUUCAUUCAUUUAUGAUCCUUUAUGACGCUAACUCCCCAUUCUAUCUUCAAGCUUUCUUUACUUUGUACCAAGUAUAUCUCAGUGUAACCAGCUACUGCUGCUUCCCUCACCGUCUUAGCCUUGCGCCGCAAAAUGCCAUCAUCCUCCUAUGUUUCCAGGGAUCCUUUUUAACUCAGGCACUGUAUGACAAUCUCCUGCAUUUGCUAAUGCUGCUCGAAUGAAAGGUCGUAAUAUAAAAGGAUAUGGCACUUCUUUCUCUGGUUCUUUGGAGGGGCCAAAGGUCCUGAUCUACGAUUAUAUCCCGGGAAAGCUACCCUGAUGUCUGCUCCCUGCAGUUAUCUAGCUUCGUUAGGUGAAUCUCUCAGAAUCAUUGCCCCACAAGGAUCAUUGUACAGGCUGGUUUUUACCAGGACAUCUUUACAACUGUUCCCUUCCCCCCCCCCCCCCCCCCACAGCAGUUUUCUAACUUCAUUAGGUGAUUCUCUCAGAAUCAUCACCCCAGGAUCAUUGUCAAGGCUAGUUAUCAGCAGGACAUCUGCACAACUGUUGCCUUCCCUCCAAAUGAGCUCCAAAUAUGGCGCUCAUUUGCCACCACAGAAUCAGUUUCCUGUUUCCGGUAUCACCUUCCUAACUCUCAAAUUCCAUGCCAGCCACAGCCCGUACGUUAUAGCCCAUAACUGAGUAGCUAUAUUACUAACAAGUAGCAAUUCUAAAGAUUAUGGCAAUUCGCAGAAGUCAAUUGCCUAGGCUGUGAAUUUGUUCAUAUUUGCAUGGUGCAAGCUUAGCAAAUAAACUUAUCACUGCUUUCUUCGUUAAAAUUAUGUGGCUAGAUAUUAACGUUUAAGUCAUGUGCUACUAUGGAUUAAACACUAGGCACAAAAUUAUCUAGGGAAAAUUAUUUAAAAUGUCGCUCACAGUUCGCCAACUAAAUUUUUUCAACCUUCGCUUUUAAAAUAUUAAUUUUACGUCCCUUGUAAAUUCAAGUUAGCAAAAUUUAAUCCUAACCUAAGUUUCUAACUGUUUUUUAGCCUGAAAUUACCGUAUGACUUACAUGCAAUCAUUUUUUAUAGUAUACAGAAAGAUCACUUUUUAUUUUUUUAUUUUUUAGUGGCAAAAAUGAAUAUGGGUUGGUCAGAUCCCACUUUUUUAGAGGAAAAAAAAUUAUUAGAGUUCGUGUUAGAUCCUACUUUUUAAAGGACAAAAAUAAAUAUGGAUGGAGUCAUUUGUUUAGCUACAAAUGCAAUCUAACCUUUUUGUCCUUUAAAGAAAAAAAAACUAUAUAUGGGUCAUAUGAUGAAUUUAGAAUAAAACAUCAAAUUUUACCGACUUGAUAUUAUAAGAGACAUAAAGUUACCAUUUUAAAAGUGAAGAAUGAAAAAAAUUCAUUUUUCGAAAUGUUAGGAAUCUUUUGAACAAUUUUUCCAACUAUCUAUAAGAAAAUGAAUCUAGUUCUGAUUUUCAUACAUUUAUUUAUGGUCAUUCAAACGAACCAAAACUUCCUUUAUUUCUCCUGCUUGGAGACAGAUGUCGUUCCCAUGAUUACAAGCUAUUUUCUUCUAAACGAUACUUUUAAUCCUGAGCUCUAGAUAUUUUGAAAUCAACCAGCAGAAAUAGAGACCCUGAAUCAUCUUUUAAUUAUCAUAUCAUUGCUUAGAUAUAAACAAGCCAUGCAAGGGCAUGAUUAUGCAAAAAUAAAAUAUGCACGGAGAAAAAUUCGUUAAUUAUGAGUAUAUACACACCAACUAAUAAAAAACGAUUUGUCUAACGGUACCCAUAGGGCACUCGUCAAGAUAUAUUUCAGGUGUUAUAUUUUUGAAAAUAUAAAAUUAAUUAGAAAAAGUAAAUAAAUACAAGGGAGGAUAAGCAAGAUUAAAUAGGAAAAGUGUAUAAAUACAAGAGCGAAUAAUAAUUAUUAGUAUAUAUAUACAUAUAUAUAUAUAUAUAUAUAUAUAUAUAGUAGGUUAGGUGAAUACUAGGUAUGUUAAUGAGUGCCCUAAGGGCAUCCGUUAGAAAAAUCCGAUCAAAAAUAAUAAUAAUAAAAAUUUGUUAUUAAUAAGACCAGGGACAAAACUAUCUACGAGGAUAUGAACCUAGUGCAAAAAUAAGCUUCGCAUGGAGAAAAAUUGGUUAAUUAUGAGUACAUAUAGAGCAACUAGUAAUAAAAAUUUGGUACCUUACUAGAGGUUCUUCAUCAAAUAAAAAUCUAUUGGUCUCCUAUGACAUGAUUAAUUUUUUUUCCGUACGAAGAAUCUAAUUUUCCAAAAGGCAAACAAACACAAAUAUGAGAUGCAUGCAUUUUCGAUGCCCUUUACCGGGAAUAAGUCAAGAUUAAAAUUCUGUGAAUAUAUCUCCAAAUAUUUCUAGGCAAAUACAAGGUGGUACAAACACCAUGUGCUUAAGAAGAAAACCUUGAUCAUUUGAUGGUAACAAAUCUCUGUAUGUAUAUUUUCUUGAUGUUCCCACAAAAUUUUAUAGAGAGUAAUUCUUAAUUGCAGCAUUGUUUAGUUGGCAAGCUCAUCAAUGAGACAUAUAUGUACCCAAAUAGUUCCAGCUGAUAAUAAGUAUCUGAGGUCGGUUUUAGUUGCCACAUUGCUCAUUUCUUUUCAAAAUUCUCACAAUCCCAACUUUCCUAAAAACUGCCAUUUAAUUACUCAAUUAAUACACAAAAUCUUGAUAAUAAUUAAUCAAAUCUCUGGACUUGCCUAGGAUGUUUAUAUAUAUGAAGAACUGAAUUGGGCAUUCUUCAGAAACCAUUCUCGAAAUUCUUGUGUACCAAAAAAAAAAAAAAAGGUCAUUAUUUUCUUGGAUUUUUUUCUUUCAAACUUUAGAGAAUGGAGCAUGAAGCUGAUACACCAUCUGAUGAUUUUUGUGAUGCCUGGCAGGCUGAUCAUCUUGAAAUACCCAAAACUGAUCAACCUGCACCAUCCGAUGAUGGUGAUGAUGAUACUCAACAAUUCUUCAUCAAAUUUAAGGUGGAGCUCAUCUAUCCACCAGACAUCACAUUAGAAGAUGAUGAAGAUUAUGUGCUAGUUGAAUUUGGUUUGGAAAGCAGCACCUCAAUUCACCAAUUUUGGGCUCCUUGCAAAAGAUCAGACAGUGAAAACUUGUCAUGGGAUGAAAUCUCUACCAUGCUAACAAGAAUCAAUGUUCCAUUGCAUAAGCAGCCAUCCAUGUUACACCGAAUUUCGACCUCUGCUAAUCAUAUAGCCAAUGCAGAUCAUAACAGGUCUAAAAAAGUAUUGCCUAUGAUGGUUUCGAUAAGUAUUCUUGUCGAUUACUCCUGCUACAAGCAAGAAGAUGCUAGCACUUAUGUGCUGAGGAACAACGCAGAUGUUGCCAAAUUGAUGCCUGUUCCUGCUAGUAAUGAAUCAGUUGAAGGACUGAAGAAGGAGAUUCUUGAAGAUCAGGGCAAUGUUUCCGUUAAACAAUGCAUGAUUUGCCUGGAAAACCUUCAAGCUGGAUCCGAAAUCAUGGGCAUGCCUUGCUCUCAUCUCUAUCAUCAAAUAUGCAUUUUGCAUUGGCUUAAGAUUAGCAACUUUUGUCCCAUUUGUCGCUUCCAGUUGUCUGCUUGAGCUUCUUGGAAUUUCAUGAUGUUUAGGGAGUUGGGAUCAGGUUCUACUAAGGCCCUUUUCUGGCCUUUAGCCUCUAUUUUCCAUAGUUAAUAAUCUGAUGGAAGUUGGGUCCUUUAAAAAUGGUGAAGUUUAUUUGCUUUGUGACAUCAGUUUAUUUAAUGCCUUGGGGGCAAGGAUAGAAUUAGUUGCUGAAUACAAGUACAACUAGACACAUGAAAAUACUUUUUUUAAUUUAAUUUUUUUUUAGCCGGGGAUCCUUCCUCAUUUUUUCAAUCCCACUCCUCUCUCCUGUCAAAAAAUAAAAAAUAAAGUACUUUAAUUCUCCUCAUUACGCUAUUUUUUUUCCUCAAUCUAGAACCCUCACCCUAGAUAAAAACUUGCACGAGUAACGCAUCAAAAGAUAUAUCAAUUGUACCCUUUGGUUAUACUUCUUGCAUUCGAACUGCAAUUCAAGAACAUUAUGGCUUAGAAACCCUAACGAUGAAUAACAAAAUUAUAUUCAAAUUCCGAAGUUAUUGUUCUUGGUGUGAACGAUAUGGAUCCAUGCAGCAUAGAGUAAGUGAGACAUAGAUUUAUUUCAAAGCCAUAUACAUAAGAGGGAAGAAAAGAAAAAGAAGAAAGGAGAAUGUGUUAAUGACCCAUUAUGAUUUUAUACAUGAAAUGCUAAAAUAAGUUGAUUGACGAUUAACUCUUAAAUCAUUCAUAUAAAAUCUAAAGUGUGGAAGGAACUAAUUAAAAAGGUAGGAAGAAAGCCAGAGCUAAAGAUUGUUGUUUUUAAGAACCUUAAUAGAAUCUUCAAUUUCGGUAUUAAAGGGGAAAUUGACACAGCUAGUAUAUAUGGUGCAAAAAAGUAGAGACAACUUUUCAAAAAGAUUUUAUGACACAAUAUAAUUGUAUUUUAGAAUGGUUCAAAAAUAAGAAACUGUUUUCCCAGAAGGUUCUGUGUCACAAUAUAGGUUUUUUCUCCCCUCUAUCCUACAGAAAACCUAUAUUCUAUGUAUAUAGGAUAGGUUUGAGCGUCUGUAUUCAGAUUUCAAAGAUUUUAUUUUGAGCGUCUGUAUUCACAAGCCAAUCUUGCUCAAUUUGAAAAUGUAUUAAAAAAAUUUUAUGGUGAAAAAUUAGUGCUCUUUGUGUUUAACCUAAAGUACUAGAAAAUAGGAAUACCUGAAAAAUAUAAAAUCUAGUAAUUGAAUAACUCCAAGAUAGCUCUUCAUCAUAUAGAAUACUGCAUUUAUGAGUCACUAAUAAUAACAGUUAACAAAGCAAACAUCAAAUUAAGGAGGACAAAGGCUAAGUGCUUGUAUAAAUAGGCACUCUUGUGUCUAGCAAUGCAAAGGAAAGAAAAACACAACCCCUAAUGAUGAGCUGUGAACCUAUAAACCAUAACAUGGAGGUAAUUUUCUCCAGGGUUAACAAUCUGAGAAGGGAAAUUUG
RNAcentral lists this long non-coding RNA (40579 nucleotides) under Coffea arabica (coffee). RNAcentral describes it as "long non-coding RNA (CARA_LNC003336)". Lineage: Eukaryota; Viridiplantae; Streptophyta; Magnoliopsida; Gentianales; Rubiaceae. The record is from RNAcentral.